RNAcentral lists this non-coding RNA (27 nucleotides) under Rattus norvegicus (Norway rat). Lineage: Eukaryota; Metazoa; Chordata; Mammalia; Rodentia; Muridae. The record is from RNAcentral.
UAGAACCCAAUGUAUUCCAUUGCUUUU